This 2935-nucleotide ribosomal RNA is filed under the name Escherichia coli. RNAcentral describes it as "bacterial LSU rRNA". It matches the Rfam family "Bacterial large subunit ribosomal RNA". Lineage: Bacteria; Pseudomonadati; Pseudomonadota; Gammaproteobacteria; Enterobacterales; Enterobacteriaceae. The record is from RNAcentral.
GGGUUGUGAGGUUAAGCGACUAAGCGUACACGGUGGAUGCCCUGGCAGUCAGAGGCGAUGAAGGACGUGCUAAUCUGCGAUAAGCGUCGGUAAGGUGAUAUGAACCGUUAUAACCGGCGAUUUCCGAAUGGGGAAACCCAGUGUGAUUCGUCACACUAUCAUUAACUGAAUCCAUAGGUUAAUGAGGCGAACCGGGGGAACUGAAACAUCUAAGUACCCCGAGGAAAAGAAAUCAACCGAGAUUCCCCCAGUAGCGGCGAGCGAACGGGGAGGAGCCCAGAGCCUGAAUCAGUGUGUGUGUUAGUGGAAGCGUCUGGAAAGGCGCGCGAUACAGGGUGACAGCCCCGUACACAAAAAUGCACAUGCUGUGAGCUCGAUGAGUAGGGCGGGACACGUGGUAUCCUGUCUGAAUAUGGGGGGACCAUCCUCCAAGGCUAAAUACUCCUGACUGACCGAUAGUGAACCAGUACCGUGAGGGAAAGGCGAAAAGAACCCCGGCGAGGGGAGUGAAAAAGAACCUGAAACCGUGUACGUACAAGCAGUGGGAGCACAGAGCAAUCUGUGUGACUGCGUACCUUUUGUAUAAUGGGUCAGCGACUUAUAUUCUGUAGCAAGGUUAACCGAAUAGGGGAGCCGAAGGGAAACCGAGUCUUAACUGGGCGUUAAGUUGCAGGGUAUAGACCCGAAACCCGGUGAUCUAGCCAUGGGCAGGUUGAAGGUUGGGUAACACUAACUGGAGGACCGAACCGACUAAUGUUGAAAAAUUAGCGGAUGACUUGUGGCUGGGGGUGAAAGGCCAAUCAAACCGGGAGAUAGCUGGUUCUCCCCGAAAGCUAUUUAGGUAGCGCCUCGUGAAUUCAUCUCCGGGGGUAGAGCACUGUUUCGGCAAGGGGGUCAUCCCGACUUACCAACCCGAUGCAAACUGCGAAUACCGGAGAAUGUUAUCACGGGAGACACACGGCGGGUGCUAACGUCCGUCGUGAAGAGGGAAACAACCCAGACCGCCAGCUAAGGUCCCAAAGUCAUGGUUAAGUGGGAAACGAUGUGGGAAGGCCCAGACAGCCAGGAUGUUGGCUUAGAAGCAGCCAUCAUUUAAAGAAAGCGUAAUAGCUCACUGGUCGAGUCGGCCUGCGCGGAAGAUGUAACGGGGCUAAACCAUGCACCGAAGCUGCGGCAGCGACGCUGAUGCGUUGUUGGGUAGGGGAGCGUUCUGUAAGCCUGUGAAGGUGUGCUGUGAGGCAUGCUGGAGGUAUCAGAAGUGCGAAUGCUGACAUAAGUAACGAUAAAGCGGGUGAAAAGCCCGCUCGCCGGAAGACCAAGGGUUCCUGUCCAACGUUAAUCGGGGCAGGGUGAGUCGACCCCUAAGGCGAGGCCGAAAGGCGUAGUCGAUGGGAAACAGGUUAAUAUUCCUGUACUUGGUGUUACUGCGAAGGGGGGACGGAGAAGGCUAUGUUGGCCGGGCGACGGUUGUCCCGGUUUAAGCGUGUAGGCUGGUUUUCCAGGCAAAUCCGGAAAACUAAGGCUGAGGCGUGAUGACGAGGCACUACGGUGCUGAAGCAACAAAUGCCCUGCUUCCAGGAAAAGCCUCUAAGCAUCAGGUAACAUCAAAUCGUACCCCAAACCGACACAGGUGGUCAGGUAGAGAAUACCAAGGCGCUUGAGAGAACUCGGGUGAAGGAACUAGGCAAAAUGGUGCCGUAACUUCGGGAGAAGGCACGCUGAUAUGUAGGUGAAGUCCCUCGCGGAUGGAGCUGAAAUCAGUCGAAGAUACCAGCUGGCUGCAACUGUUUAUUAAAAACACAGCACUGUGCAAACACGAAAGUGGACGUAUACGGUGUGACGCCUGCCCGGUGCCGGAAGGUUAAUUGAUGGGGUCAGCGCAAGCGAAGCUCUUGAUCGAAGCCCCGGUAAACGGCGGCCGUAACUAUAACGGUCCUAAGGUAGCGAAAUUCCUUGUCGGGUAAGUUCCGACCUGCACGAAUGGCGUAAUGAUGGCCAGGCUGUCUCCACCCGAGACUCAGUGAAAUUGAACUCGCUGUGAAGAUGCAGUGUACCCGCGGCAAGACGGAAAGACCCCGUGAACCUUUACUAUAGCUUGACACUGAACAUUGAGCCUUGAUGUGUAGGAUAGGUGGGAGGCUUUGAAGUGUGGACGCCAGUCUGCAUGGAGCCGACCUUGAAAUACCACCCUUUAAUGUUUGAUGUUCUAACGUUGACCCGUAAUCCGGGUUGCGGACAGUGUCUGGUGGGUAGUUUGACUGGGGCGGUCUCCUCCUAAAGAGUAACGGAGGAGCACGAAGGUUGGCUAAUCCUGGUCGGACAUCAGGAGGUUAGUGCAAUGGCAUAAGCCAGCUUGACUGCGAGCGUGACGGCGCGAGCAGGUGCGAAAGCAGGUCAUAGUGAUCCGGUGGUUCUGAAUGGAAGGGCCAUCGCUCAACGGAUAAAAGGUACUCCGGGGAUAACAGGCUGAUACCGCCCAAGAGUUCAUAUCGACGGCGGUGUUUGGCACCUCGAUGUCGGCUCAUCACAUCCUGGGGCUGAAGUAGGUCCCAAGGGUAUGGCUGUUCGCCAUUUAAAGUGGUACGCGAGCUGGGUUUAGAACGUCGUGAGACAGUUCGGUCCCUAUCUGCCGUGGGCGCUGGAGAACUGAGGGGGGCUGCUCCUAGUACGAGAGGACCGGAGUGGACGCAUCACUGGUGUUCGGGUUGUCAUGCCAAUGGCACUGCCCGGUAGCUAAAUGCGGAAGAGAUAAGUGCUGAAAGCAUCUAAGCACGAAACUUGCCCCGAGAUGAGUUCUCCCUGACUCCUUGAGAGUCCUGAAGGAACGUUGAAGACGACGCCGUUGAUAGGCCGGGUGUGUACGCGCAGCGAUGCGUUGAGCUAACCGGUACUAAUGAACCGUGAGGCUUAACCUUACAACGCCGCAGCUGUUUUG